This 372-nucleotide ribosomal RNA is filed under the name uncultured organism. Its description in RNAcentral is "bacterial SSU rRNA". It matches the Rfam family "Bacterial small subunit ribosomal RNA", at positions 526 to 896 of the family's 1533-position model. The record is from RNAcentral.
CAGAGGUCUCAAGCGUUGUUCGGAUUCAUUGGGCGUAAAGGGUGCGUAGGUGGCGGGGCAAGUCUGGUGUGAAAUCCCGGGGCUCAACCCUGGAACUGCACUGGAUACUGCUUUGCUAGAGUACUGGAGAGGGAACUGGAAUUUACGGUGUAGCAGUGAAAUGCGUAGAUAUCGUAAGGAAGACCAGUGGCGAAGGCGAGUUCCUGGACAGUUACUGACACUGAGGCACGAAGGCCAGGGGAGCAAACGGGAUUAGAUACCCCGGUAGUCCUGGCAGUAAACGGUGCGCGUUUGGUGUAGGAGGAUUCGACCCCUUCUGUGCCGGAGCUAACGCGUUAAACGCGCCGCCUGGGGAGUACGGUCGCAAGAUUA